Molecule: ribosomal RNA, 253 nt
Filed under: uncultured bacterium
Lineage: Bacteria
Description: partial 16S ribosomal RNA
Rfam family: Bacterial small subunit ribosomal RNA
Source: RNAcentral
UACGGAGGGGGCAAGCGUUAUUCGGAAUUAUUGGGCGUAAAGGGCGCGUAGGCGGCUAGAUGUGUCAAAGGUGAAAGCCCCCGGCUCAACUGGGGAGGGUCAUUCGAUACUGAUCGACUCGAAGGCAGGAGAGGGUAGUAGAAUUCCCGGUGUAGUAGUGAAAUGCGUAGAUAUCGGGAGGAACACCAGUGGCGAAGGCGACUACCUGGCCUGUUCUUGACGCUGAGGCGCGAAAGCUAGGGGAGCAAACGGG